This 484-nucleotide ribosomal RNA is filed under the name uncultured bacterium. Its description in RNAcentral is "partial 16S ribosomal RNA". It matches the Rfam family "Bacterial small subunit ribosomal RNA", at positions 30 to 507 of the family's 1533-position model. The record is from RNAcentral.
AUUGAACGCUGGCGGCAGGCCUAACACAUGCAAGUCGAGCGGAUGAAGGGAGCUUGCUCCUGGAUUCAGCGGCGGACGGGUGAGUAAUGCCUAGGAAUCUGCCUGGUAGUGGGGGAUAACGUCCGGAAACGGGCGCUAAUACCGCAUACGUUCUGAGGGAGAAAGUGGGGGAUCUUCGGACCUCACGCUAUCAGAUGAGCCUAGGUCGGAUUAGCUAGUUGGUGGGGUAAAGGCCUACCAAGGCGACGAUCCGUAACUGGUCUGAGAGGAUGAUCAGUCACACUGGAACUGAGACACGGUCCAGGCUCCUACGGGAGGCAGCAGUGGGGAAUAUUGGACGAUGGGCGAAAGCCUGAUCCAGCCAUGCCGCGUGUGUGAAGAAGGUCUUCGGGUUGUAAAACACUUUAAGUUGGGAGGAAGGGCAGUAAGUUAAUACCUUGCUGUUUUGACGUUACCAACAGAAUAAGCACCGGCUAACUUCGUG